Long non-coding RNA from Clupea harengus (Atlantic herring), 3011 nucleotides. RefSeq lists it as uncharacterized. Lineage: Eukaryota; Metazoa; Chordata; Actinopteri; Clupeiformes; Clupeidae. The record is from RefSeq and is a predicted model, not a curated record. The transcript has 3 exons.
GGUCUCGAUUAUCCAGCCUUCAGUAGGGUAUUAUAUUUGGGGUAACUGCACACAGGCCAUUAGAAAGGGGUAACAUGUGGGGUAACUGCUCACAGAAGGGGGAAGGGUGUGGAGCAACUGUCAGGGCAACUGCACAGAGGCAGUUAGGAGGGUAUAGUACGUGGGGUAACUGCACAGAGUCAGUUAGGACUCUCUCUCCUUUCCUUCCCUCUCAGCUCCACCCUCUUGAUUAAAAACAAGAAAAAAACUCCAUGAAUAUAAAUCUGUUUUGAUAAAGCAUUUCUCAAUAUUUCCAAUGAUGACACAGAAUGAUUACAUUUUAAAAGGGCUUUAUUUGAGCAUGAGCAUGAAGCAUAUUUUUUUUAUCAUUUGACAGCAUGAGCAGUUGAGCAGUGUGUUUCCUUCAAAGAGGAAAGAGCAAGAAGCCACUGGACGUGUUGUGGUUAUCAGAAUUAUCAUAGAGCCUGUAGCCUGUAGGGAGUCGCAUGUUAACUACAUCUCCCUCCUCCAGCUGCAGAGUCACACCACUGGAGAGAUAGGAGUAUUGCCCAUCGGUCUGGUACUCACGCAACAACAUGACCCCUUCUCCAUUCUUAAACAUCCUGAUAUACAUGUGGUGUGAGGAAAGAUGAUCUGCGACUGUGAAUCUGAAGUAGUACACUCCCCUGACUGGAGCUGUGAAGAAGCCGGUCAUGUUGCUGUAGGCCUGUCCAACAUUGGUGAUGAUUCUAGUGAAGACCAAGUUCAGAUCAGUGUUUCCAGACUCUAGGUAUCCUGAGUCAGUCAGACCUGCUUAGAAUGCCACCUUGGGUUUCUCUGUAAUCUCUUUCUCCAGAUUCACUACUUCAGUCUCAGUGGCUGCCAGUCUGGUCUUCACUGAUGUCAGCUCUGCCUCUUGUGCUGCAGUGUCUUUCUUCACAUGCUGCAUGUCAGUCUCAGUGGCUGCCAGUCUCAAAGUAACUGACCUCAGAUCAGCUGUGAUGUGCUGCAGCUUCCUUCCUCAGAUUCACCACUUCAGUUUCACUUAAAGACAGUCUGGUCUUCACAACUGUCAGUUCUGCCUCUUGUGCUAAAUUGUCCUUGAUCAGGUUCAUCAUUUCAGUCUUUACAGCUGUCAUCUCUGCCUCUUGUGCUAAAUUCACCCUUUCCAGAGCCUCCACUUUAGUCUCACUGGCCACCUAUCUUUGUUUCAGAGCAUCAUUUUCAGCCUCUAUUUUGUUCAGCAGAUCUUUGGUGUUUUUUAGCUCAUACUGAGUGAAGCUCAGAGUCAUUCUCUGCUCCACUAACGUGAUUCCUUGCUUGUCCACCAUGGUUCCCUGAGCUCAGCAGAGACAACCAGCUGGGUAGUGACUGCAGCAGCAGCAGCAGCAGCAGCCCCAGUGCUCUGGCUCUCUGUGUGAACUUCAGUCUGGGUGCUCUGAGUCUGAGAUCCACACAUGGAGAUCAGCAGCACCUGCAGUGUGAUGACAGCCCUCAUCUUCAACAUCACUCCCUCUCUGACUCACAGUAGUUUUGUAGUAGCAGUAGUAGUAGAAGGUUGUUAGUCUCACUCUUGAGACACCCUCUUUUAUAUGCCUCAGUUACUCAUUAUGUAAGAAAUUUCAUGACGUUUUGAGGUUAAAUAAAGUCCAGGGACACUGAUCAGAAUUAGAAACAGAAGAUUUUCAGUCUGUGAACACCCUAUCUUUUUAGGUUAUUUAGUGAUUAUUUAUGGAGGUUUCAUCACUUUCGGGGUGAACUGGAGUCCAGGGACACUGAUAUGUUUUUUUUCCCCAGGACAUAUCUAGUUAUUAUUUAUCAGUGUUGUGGGAAAGUGCAAGCCUGUCACCCAUCAUGUAGGGCAGGUAAAGUUUCAUGUCCUUAUUUCACCCAUUCGUCUUAGACUUUAAGAAUCACAUCUAUUCCUCCUGUCAAUGCUAGUGAGGAUCUAGUUCUCACCAAAGACAAAUAGUCACAAAUAAUUACAAAAACUGAGGAAAAAGAAAUAAGCAAAAAAGAUCUUUGGGUGACUUCAUGGAAUUAUAUAAAUAUUGAUGAUGGAAGUUCCUAAGAAAGUCACUACAUUUAGUCAAUAAAGAUAGUUUGAUUUUCGAUUAGACUAAAUGUUUUUUUUAUUUUUUAUCAAUACCAAUUUAUUAUCAUUUCCUUUGCACUAGCCCUGCAGACUGUGUGUGUGGAGCUUCUACCCUUGGGAUAUGACUUCGACUUCGUCAACAGGUGGCUGGAGACCGUUGGGCCGGAGUGGCUCAGGAAUGCAGAGGAGCUGACCCCAAAGGGGCAGAUAGACACACUAUCAAGUUUCCUGUAUACGGGGCACGCCAACACUCUGUUCACAAGUGUUGUUGACAGCGGACAGAAUGUUGGAGGGCACUGCUAUGUCCAUUCCACAGUUCCAGCCGUCUUCUGACCAUGACAAUAUAGAAGGAGAAGGGAGGGGUUGGACAGAACAUAUCCAUGUGAAAAAUAUGAGUAUAUAGUUUUUAUACUGUGUGCUUCAAAACUACAAUUGAAUGCACUAAUGUAAUCACAAGGGGGUGGUGGAGGAAUGAUCAUCCUUGAAUUCUUUUAGUUAUUUAUUUCCACAAAUAGAUAAAAUAAAACCUUUUUUUAUCUUCCUAAAUCUGCCAAAUCUGCCAGUCUCUUCACCUCUUAAACACAUACAAAAAAGCCAUCCCGUGACGCAAAACAUUGUAUAAUUGUCUGUCUUUUAUGAAAUUGAGUUUAUUGUAAUUUGAAACAUGUUCCACCUUAGUUGUUCAUCAUAGCCUGAAAAGACUAUGACAGCAAUUGCCAUCAUUAUUAUUAAAUCGGCUAUUAUCCUUGUGUGCCCAUGUUUGAAACAGCAUGUUUCUCAGAACACAUGAAAUAUGACAACAUACCACCUACCUCAAUUCCACUAGGAAACUUCAUAUGUUCGCACAUACUUAUUUGCGUGCUUGUGCGUGUGAGUAUUUUGUGUGUGUGUGUGUGUGUGUGUAUGUGUGUGCAGUGGGCCUCCAGUCACCCUAUGC